UGAAGAAUAAAAACAAAGGAAACAGAGCAUAAAUACUGAAUAAUUUGUGUUCCAAAUUGCUGUUUCAAUUCAGAUACAUGAACUUGGCAUGGCGCACAGAUCACAUCCUCUACCCUGACAGGCCUAAAUGCCCAUUCUAAUGACAGAUGAACAACAAAUAAAACAAAAACAGAGCAAUGAUACAGCAAUAGAACCCCCUGCCAUGAUAUUUGCUUGCUUUUGCAAAUCGAUCAUCUGCAUUAGAUGUUUCUUGAUCUUCUUCAGUUCCUCGGUCAGUUUGGACCCCGCAUGCAGUUCAUCAUUGCGCGCAUACAUCGCCAUCGGCACGACUCUGCCCGCCCCUCCGCCAAAGCUCCCCAUAUUCUCCAUAGCAAUCGGCGGCACCCCGCCCAAAUUGAGCUCCCAGGUUGCGGCCACGCUCAAAUCCUAUCAAACUAAAUCCUAUCAACAUAUUCAUCAAUCCACUUGAAAUGGUAACAUUUCUUCAGGAUCUGAAAACCACAAUAUGAACCCUAAAUCCCAAAUUCAAGGAGAAAAAACAAAAUAUGGAGAAAUCAGAGCAAAAGACAGCAAAAGAACGGGCUUAGAACUGAGAUCUAACCUUGCCAUCCCUUCCGGCCAUUGGUUUGCUCAAGCAUUUCACAAAUUCCCGUCCAAGAUUGCCAUUAUCAUCCUUCUUAGUGACCAACCGUUUAAGAGGCUCUGGGCAUGGGCAGUCAGGGCACCUUGUGAGCAGCAUUGGAUCAUACUGUCGCCAUUUUGAGUGCAUGGCGGAGGAGAUAGACAUUUGCGCUAGGUCGUCGGAGAAGAGAAAGAUUGGGGAAAGGGGCUGAAUGGGCGGCGGCGGGCGGACGGGUACGGGCGCUCGUCUCUUCUAGCUGCGAGGAGGUGGGUCCCGCGAGUAGACAAGUGGUGUGUCCCGCGCUUACGUGGAUUAGUGGUGGGUCCAGCCCCCAACAGCUAAUGAGGGCAUCAGUUGAGUUUAACAACCAUGUCAUGCAUGGGCUAUUUACCUGCUCAAAAUUGUCGCACCACAGCAAUUCGCUCGAACAACGUCGCACUCUUGCCAAUUCACCUCAAAUGUGUUGCACAGGAGCUAUAAGCCCAUAGUUAAUCGCACUUUGGGUCGUUCCCGAUCUGAAUUUUAAAAUUCACUUUGAGGGGCGGAGCAGGGGUUGUAUAUGCAAACUGCGCCGACGUGCUGAUGAACAGGUUGGGUCUAAACCAACAGUUCAGAAAAUCACCACGGCUUGGCAGGUUCUUAGUUUACUGACUUUAUAAUGAGAUGAGAUCACAAAGAACCCAAAUACUUCAGAGUGCAUGCGCACUAUCUAGGCAGAACGAGCGGCCGAACACAAGCCGCUCGAUCAGCCCAGAUCGUGCGGUCCUCGGCGUCAGGUCGUACCUGGUCAGGAGGUGACCAAACACGCACGUGGCUGGGCCCGCCCGCAAGCGCCGCUCUCCUGCUCCAGACGGUUUGCGUCGCGUAGGAAGCACCCUUGCCACGGGCCUCUGUCUACUUCCUCUCUUCUCGCCCUGUUCUUUCCCCAAAUCCGACGACGAGAGACAACCGCUGCCGCGACGCAGCCGAAGACGGGGGGCAGGGAAGGGGAAGGGCUGGAGCGCGGUGGGGACCCGCUUCUCGUCGCCGGCGUAGGUACGGUCGCCCAUUCGGCUGCUCCCUGCCCAACCAGAUCCAGCCCCAUCGUCCUUGUUCCCCGCCGUCGUCGACGGGAUGCGGCCGUCGUCUACUUCCUCUGCCCGAGGUCAGCUGAGAUCCUUCCCCUCUAGAUCCGACUGAGUCCACUGCGUCCCAAAUGGCAGGGGUGGAGGAUCCUCUGGUCGCGGUGGCAUGUGAUGUGGGCGUCACGCGAUGGCAGAGAUGGAGCAACCUCCGGUGGUAGUGGUGUCUGAUGUGGUCUUUCCAGCGUCAUGAUCUGCUAGGCCUAGGUACAAAAAUGUCAUGUCCAUACGCCGACAGCGUUUCUGGGCUGAUUCGGGCAGAGGGGUCCCAUGGGAGAGCGUUGCAUUCGCUCUAAGCGAGAGCUUCUAUCGGAAAUUUUUUGCUUGGACCGUCACAUCCUAGCAAUAUCUACUGCGGCAGCACAAUGUUCAGAGGCACCGGUGUAUUUCUGGGUGCCUGCAUGUCAAUACAAUCUAGUACAGUAUAGUACUAUUUUGCUAGUAAACCUGGCACACGAGUCUAGUUUGUCUUUACAUCUUUAAUUAAUGUUUAAUUUCCUCUUCUAAUUUAGCGCUAGUCUGCUACAGUACAUGAUGAUAGUUGCUGAAGCAAACUAAUCCAAUUCUAUAUAUGUUUCAUCUUCCUCGCAAAAACUUAUCAAUCAGCGGACGAUUGUGUGGCGAAAUAAGUGUUUUCUAGUCAGCUAACGUUCAAUGAUUGGGUGGUGAAAUAAGUGUUUUCUUUAGUUGGCUAACACCGUGACGCUUGUAUGUUCUGUAAAUUAUCAAUCUUGAAUUUUUUGAAGAGCAUAGAAAGAGUUGCACAAGAGUAUCUAAAUGAGCUGGCAUCCUCAGGCUUUUCUAGUUGCACAAGAGUACCUGGUUAGUUGGCAUCCUCAGCAUUUCUAGUUGCACAAUUCAAUCCAACUAGUUGACAUCCUCAGUCUUUUUGUAGCUGCGUUGACACCCUCAGCAUUUUCUUCUAGAAGCCCGAAAUCUGAAUAUUUCAUUUCCCAAGAGUAUCUAAUUAAUUGGCAUCCUCAACAUUUUUAGUUGCACAAGAGCAUUCAGAAACAUCCAUUUUGCCUGAUUUUUUGGUUUGACAGGGAUGGAAACGUCGGCACUGGAGUCGUGGCCGUGGCGGGGAAGGCGAACCCAGCGCAGCUCUGCCAGUGGCUCAAGAGGAAGAUAAGCAAGGAUGUCAAGAUUUUCCGCCGUUGUCCAAACGGGCUGAGAAUUGUAAUAAGCAGGUAUGCAUCCCUCUUGUCUACUUGUACUGCAGAAUGAAGGACGAUGUGUGUAAUAUCCAAAUGAAUGCACGUUAUUACGAAGGGCUAGCCGUGUGGGGUUAAGGUGCUCGCCGGCGGCGACCUGCGUGGCUCUCGGCCUGCAUCCUCGCUGAACUCAACACCAACUAUCGCGCGCCCGCGAUGUGACUGCUGUUGCAACAACGACGGCCAACGGCUAUUGAACGACGAGGAUGCCCUUCGGGGGUUAUAGCAUGCAAAGCAAAGAAGUUGCUCGAUACUCACAGCCAAUAUAUCUCCCUGUAGAAGCAGAAGAAGCAGCAAUUGAUUCAUAAGCAACAAUUUUAUCUGUUUCGUUCCUUUGUAUUUUUGCCCUCUGUUUCUACUGAUUGUAUGUAUCACUUUUUCAGAUAUAUUGAUCUUCACAUUCUUAGUUGGCAUCCGUAGUGGUUGUAGUUGUACACAUAGCAGUUCUUGGUUGGAUACGACAAUUAGAAAGUUGCACAACACUAAACCUUUUUCCUACGGCGGUGAAAGUGGAACGGAAUACAUUGAACUGAAUACACAUGGUGAUCAUUUUUUUGGCAUUUAUAGUAAUUCUUGUUACACACAUAGUUGUUUUCGUCGGAGACGAUCAUUACUAUAGUAGUUGUAGUUGCACAUACAGUUGUUCUCAGUUGGAUCCUAUUAUUGAAAAAUUGCACACAUGGCAAUCAUUUUUUGUUUGCAUCUAUAGUAGUUCUAGUUGCACACAUAGUUGUUUUCAGUUGGACACGAUCAUUGGAAAAUUACACACACGGCGAUCAAUUUUGGGUGGCAUCUAUAGUCGUUCUAGUUGCACACAUAGUUGUUUUCAGUUGGAUACGGUCAUUGGAAAGCUGCACACACGGUGAUAAUUUUUUGUUGGCAUCUAUAGUAGUUCUAGUUGCAUACAUAGUUGUUUUCAGUUGGACACGGUCAUUGGAAGUAGUUGGCAGGGGCAAUAGAAGUAGUUGCACAGAAUCUGCUAGGCAAAACUUUAUGGUGGCGAAAGAUUCCUCUUAGUAAAUCUGCAGAGAAGAAAUGUGCGCGCGAAGGCAGUAUCCAAAGGGGUAGAUGCCACAUCUUCUGCAGCAGCCGCUGUGGUAACAUAAAGUUCUAUCAUGAAUACUUUUUACUCCACAUACAGGCAGCCAAGUGUAUGAAUUUUCAUACAUGGUUGCAGAAGGACUAAUUAAGCAUUGGCAUGCUCUACUUUCUCAGUUGCUCAACGUUGCCAUCUUCAAGUUUUUUAGAAUUGUCCCAAGAGUAUGUAACGACUUGGCAUCCUCUGGCUUUCUAGUUGCAGAAUAAUAUCUAAUUAGUUGGCAACCUCGGUAAUUCUAAUUGCACAACAAUAACUAGUUGACAUCCUCAUCUUCUCUAGUUGCACAAGAACUCAGAUUAGUUCCAUCUUAAAAAAAAUGAGGAUUUCCCUACAGUAUGUAGCGACUUGACACCCUUAGGCUUUCUAGUUGCAGAAGAGUAUCUAUUUAGUUGGCACCCUCGGCAAUUCUAGUUGGACAAUAUUAUCCAAGUAGUUGACAUGCUCAGCCUCUCUAGUUGCACAAGAAUUCAGAUUAAUCCCAUCUUAAAAAAUUUGAGGAUUGCCCAACGGUAUCUAAUCACUUGGCACCCUCAGGCUUUCUACUUGCAGAAGAUUAUCUAUUUAGUUGGCACCCUCUACAAUUCUAGUUGGACAACAUUAUCCAAGUAGUUGGCAUCCUCAGCCUCUCUAGUUGCACAAAAAUAUCUCAUUAGUUGGCAUCAUCAGCAUUUCUAGUCGCACAAGAAUAUCUCAUUAGUUGUCAUCACCAGCAUUUCUAGUUGCAGAACAAACAGGAUAUCAAGUUGCCAUCCUCAACAUUUUAAUCUAGUUUUCCAGAGAACAAAUAUUUGUAUGUAAUGAUAACUAAUCACCUUUGCCUUUUUUUUGCAAACCCCGAGAUAUUGUUCCAGGAAAUGAGAGUAAUGAAGCAUAUAAUGUUGAACGAUAGUCACAAGCUGGCUACCUGAUGGAGACUACGCUGGAUACCUGAUGUUUGAGUUGGAUAGAAUACAUGUUUUAGUUGGCUAUAAUACAUGGGUACCUGCACACAACCUUGUGUAUGCUUGUUGCACACAUCCAGGGGAAAGUUGGCUAUUUAACCAUGUUUAGUUGCACAGGGAACUACAUCAACCUUUUUUCUACUAUGAUGCAUUUUUUCACCCGUGGAUAUGUUUGUUUGCACACAUCCAUGUGAAAGUUGGUUUGAAACCAUGGUUUUCUUGCACAGGGAACUGAAUUUCUUAUGCUUUUACUUGAUCUUCCUUCUCAAAAUCAUGGAGUUUUUUUUACUUGAUUUGGGAGAUUUAGAGGGAAAGGGCAAGGGAGAUAGUCAACAAGGUUUGCACAUGGGAGAGGAGAAGGAUUUCUUACCUUGGCGUUGCUUGGUAAGCUUCUCUUCUCUUCUUCCUGUUUUUCUGACCAAGAUCUCCUCACCUUGGCUGCUUUGCCAUGGCAGCUCUACAGGAUCUGGUUCAUGGCAUUGGAUCUGGUUUCUUUCAUGGGGAAGAAGCUGACGACCAGCGAGGGAGAGAGGGUGGGUGAGAGGGGCG
Molecule: long non-coding RNA, 5546 nt
Filed under: Triticum aestivum (bread wheat)
Lineage: Eukaryota; Viridiplantae; Streptophyta; Magnoliopsida; Poales; Poaceae
Description: long non-coding RNA (TAES_LNC015722)
Source: RNAcentral